Molecule: long non-coding RNA, 1820 nt
Filed under: Pomacea canaliculata
Lineage: Eukaryota; Metazoa; Mollusca; Gastropoda; Architaenioglossa; Ampullariidae
Description: uncharacterized LOC112568383, transcript variant X2
Source: RNAcentral
CAUCCACCACCGCUUGUUUCUAUUUCGCCAGGUAACUCGAGCGGAUGUAGGUCGGAGAAAGCAGUACAGCAAGACAGUGCAGAAUGAAGUGGAUGACGAUUGGAGCUAUUUUCACCUCGGGGCUGAUAAUCUCAUGCUGGACUCACUUUUCUCUAAACAUUGUCCAGCCCAUCCAGGAAUCUGCUGAGGUUUCCACAGGACUCCCUCUGACAAUCGAGUGUGACUUCAGUGGGACGAGGAAAGGGCUUCUCGUACCUGUUCAGAUCACGUGGCAAAGGAGCGCCACCUUGAACCUGACCCCCGUGUCCAUAGUCAGUGACCGCACCAAGUACAUAAUCGAAAAUUCUACAUCAGAAAACAGUUUGAGAUCCCGACUGACCGUUGUCAACAUGACGUUUAGCGAUGAGGGCGUCUACUACUGCAGAAGUCACGUGCACGGAAGUAACUUCUCGGACUUAGUGCAGAUAACUGCGAGAGGUGUACCCGAGAUAGUGACAUCACCUCUGACCUUCACCCUGUCGUUGGGCGUGCGGUGUCCUUCACCUGCCUCGUUCUGGGAAAGCCACGCCCUUCGGUCGUCUGGUUGGGAUCUAAUGAUACUAACUUAACUGUUGCGUUGGAUCAAAUCAAACCCUGGUACACAAUUUCCACUACAAGUGUGUCAGACAAAAUGAUGGUCAGCCAGCUCACCUUGUCCAGUGUGAUGUCCGAGACACAAGGGAACUACACGUGUGUUGCAGAGAGUGAAGCCGGUAAAACCACCCGAUCGAGCGAACUGCUUCUAAAAGCUUUUGUUACGUUCGAUGCUCCUUCAGAGGAUGAUUCAAGCAACGAUACUGAGAAAGAAUUUGGCGAUACAAAAGACACCCUUACACCCUCAACAGUGUUUACAGUCCUCGAUGAGGUCACACUGAGUUGCUUCGCCUACAAUGUACCCGACGGCUCUUCAGUGUGUCUACAGUGGAGUGGGCACAAGAUCUGCUCGAGGAGCGAAUUCUGCGAGGUGGCACGAGGUACAACAUCUCCACCAACACCUUCAGGACCAUCGACCCGUCAUUGUCCAGUGUUAACUCCACGUUGACGUUUCGCGCAUUGGCUAGUGACGAGGGCUUUUAUGUGUGUCGAGUUGUCGACAAGCAGGGUACUGUUCUUUCGGAUGCAGUUAACUGAGUUGGCUGUUGAAGAAGCUGAUGACUUAAACAGCACAGAAGACGUGGACACCCCGACACCCACGUCCAUAGAGAGAACUCCGACAGCGACCACUUCCGGUGCCACGACUCACAGUGACGUCAGCAGGGCUGUAGACGCCGCCGUGUCCGGAGGAAUAGGAGCUGGCACUGCCGUUCUCGUUGUUCUUGGUCGUCGCCUCGAUCGUCGUCUUUGUUCGACGAGUAAGGAAGAAGCCUCAAAGGAAUAGUCAAGCGCAGAACAAGAGAGAGUCGCCGCCACAUAAAAUCACGUGUGAAGUCAUGCAGUCCAACGAUGUUUACUUCGACUGGACUUGAGACGAUAAAGGUAGAGACCACCUCAUCACAGAGCUGCGUUCUUCCUUCUCCUCGAAAGAAAGACCCUCGUGAAUUCCCGCGAGACCGCGUGCAGCUGAAGGAGAUUCUGGCUCACAGCAAGCUCGUCAUCUUGCACAAAGCCCUGGCACUCAACAUCCUCAACUCCGGCAAGUGGGACCGCGUGGCCGUCAAGAUGCUGAAGGAAACUGCGACUGAUGCAGAAAAAAGUGAUUUCAUGAGAGAAAUUUCACUGUUACGCAACAUGGAGCCACAUCCUAAUGUUGUCCGCUUGUUGGGAAGUUGCACCGAGACAGG